GACGAACGCUGGCGGCGCGCCUAACACAUGCAAGUCGAACGAGCGAGAGAGAGCUUGCUUUCUCGAGCGAGUGGCGAACGGGUGAGUAACGCGUGAGUAACCUGCCUUUCAGAGGGGGAUAACAGUUGGAAACGACUGCUAAUACCGCAUAACGUAUUUUGAUCGCAUGAUUGAGAUACCAAAGCUGAGGCGCUGAAAGAUGGACUCGCGUCUGAUUAGAUAGUUGGUGAGGUAACGGCUCACCAAGUCGACGAUCAGUAGCCGGACUGAGAGGUUGAUCGGCCACAUUGGGACUGAGACACGGCCCAG
This 309-nucleotide ribosomal RNA is filed under the name uncultured bacterium. RNAcentral's name for it is "bacterial SSU rRNA". It matches the Rfam family "Bacterial small subunit ribosomal RNA", at positions 28 to 334 of the family's 1533-position model. The record is from RNAcentral.